This 421-nucleotide unclassified non-coding RNA is filed under the name uncultured Pseudoalteromonas sp. Its description in RNAcentral is "partial 16S-23S ribosomal RNA intergenic spacer". The stretch from base 300 to 421 matches the Rfam family "Bacterial large subunit ribosomal RNA", at positions 1 to 120 of the family's 2925-position model. The record is from RNAcentral. Lineage: Bacteria; Pseudomonadati; Pseudomonadota; Gammaproteobacteria; Alteromonadales; Pseudoalteromonadaceae.
CCUCCUUAUACGAUUUAGAACUUAUUUGUUCGUAGUGUCCACACAGAUGAUUGUUAGUUAGUUUUACCCUUUGGGUUUAACUGAUUAAUAUGCUCUUUAAAAAUUUGGAAAAGCUGAUAAUAAAAUUCGUAUGAAUAACAGUGUUAUUUGUACAGAGUUUUCAAAAGUAAAAAAGAAUGAUAGCAGUAUCAUUCAGUGCCAAUUUAAUCAUUUAUGAUUAAUUGGUAUCUACUUUAGUAUUCAAUAUUAACUUCUGGCGAAGUUAAACUGUCACUAACAAAGACCCGUUUGGGUUGUAUGGUUAAGUGACUAAGCGUACACGGUGGAUGCCUUGGCAGUUGGAGGCGAUGAAGGACGUAUUAACUUGCGAUAAGCCUAGUCAAGCUAGAAAAAAAGCGCUUGAGACUAGGAUUUCCGAAUA